Molecule: non-coding RNA, 72 nt
Organism: Caenorhabditis brenneri
Lineage: Eukaryota; Metazoa; Nematoda; Chromadorea; Rhabditida; Rhabditidae
Source: the annotation of a GenBank genome assembly
GCACCCGUGGCCUAGCGGUUAGCGCUUCCGUUUUGGAAAUGUUCAACGCGGGUUCGAACCCCAUUGUGGUCA